This 248-nucleotide ribosomal RNA is filed under the name Taiwanofungus camphoratus. RNAcentral's name for it is "internal transcribed spacer 1". The record is from RNAcentral. Lineage: Eukaryota; Fungi; Basidiomycota; Agaricomycetes; Polyporales; Taiwanofungaceae.
UUGUAUUUGAAAGGGGUUGUAGCUGACCUCCUCUUGAAAAGGGGGGAGGUAUGUGCACACCUCUGUUCAUUCAUAUUCUCUCACACCUGUGCAUGCUUUGUAGGUUGGUUUUGAAUGGUUGUCUUCUCUGAUGGAGACAGCUGUUUUGACCUUCCUAUGUUCUUUAAAUUGACUCCGUAUCAGUUACAGAAUGUAUGUUGCGUGUAACGCAUAUUGUAUAACUUUCAGCAACGGAUCUCUUGGCUCUC